RNAcentral lists this ribosomal RNA (433 nucleotides) under uncultured bacterium. RNAcentral's name for it is "partial 16S ribosomal RNA". It matches the Rfam family "Bacterial small subunit ribosomal RNA", at positions 29 to 507 of the family's 1533-position model. The record is from RNAcentral.
AACGAACGCUGGCGGCAGGCUUAACACAUGCAAGUCGAACGCACCUUUCGGGGUGAGUGGCAGACGGGUGAGUAACGCGUGGGAAUCUACCCUUCUCUACGGGAUAGCUCCGGGAAACUGGAAUUAAUACCGUAUACGUCCUGAGGGAGAAAGAUUUAUCGGGGAAGGAUGAGCCCGCGUUGGAUUAGCUAGUUGGUGGGGUAAAGGCCUACCAAGGCGACGAUCCAUAGCUGGUCUAAGAGGAUGAUCAGCCACAUUGGGACUGAGACACGGCCCAAACUCCUACGGGAGGCAGCAGUGGGGAAUAUUGGACAAUGGGCGCAAGCCUGAUCCAGCCAUGCCGCGUGAGUGAUGAAGGCCCUAGGGUUGUAAAGCUCUUUCAGUGGGGACGAUAAUGACGGUACCCACAGAAGAAGCCCCGGUUAACUUCGUG